CGUUCAGUCCUGUCCAUGGCAUUUUCCAGGCAAGAAUACCAGCGUGGGUUGCCAUUUCCUUCUUGGGGGGAUCUUCUUGAUCCAGGGACUGAACCUGUAUCUCUUGGGUCUCCUACAUUGGCAGGCGGAUUCUGGGCCACCUAGGAAGCCCAAACAAGCUAUGAAUACAGACAUCUGGAGACCAGACCAACCCUCAGCAAACGGAAGAUGUUGGGUUGCUGCUGCCACCUGCUGGUGACCACUGGAACUUGGCUGAGGAGCCUGCUGAAGGGGGUGUCCUCCCUGCGCAGAGGUCCAGGGGCUCCACUCGCACCUGCCUGGCACUGCCAGCUGGCUACACAGUUGUCACAGCAACUCAGUGCGGAGGGAAUGUUCACAAGGCGAACCGAUUAUAUUUCAUAUAGGUUAUUACAGGACAUUGGGUAUAACUGCUGCAAGGCACCGACGUGCAAGGGCACUCCAGGGUGAACCACAGCUGGAGCUGUGUCAGUACGCAACAUGCCAUCACAGGUCUGUGUUUUCUCGGGGGUGGGGAGCCUAAAAGGUAUGUAAAUGCAGAGAAAAAGGCCUGGAGAAGAAAGCAGCCUGCAGGUUUAAAGAGAAUGGAUUAAGUAUGGCUUAUGUUAGCAAAAAGGAGUAAAAAUGAAGAGUGUGGGCUUCCCUGGUGGCUCAGAUGGUAAAGACCCCACCUGCAAUACAGGAGACCUGGGUUUGAUCCCUGUGUCAGGAAGAUCCCCUGAUGAAGGGAGUGGCACACCACUCCUGUAUGCUUGCCUGGGGAACUUCAUGGACAGGAACCUGGUGGGCUACAGUCCAUGGGGUCACAGAGUUGGGCAUGACUGAACGACUCACACCUUAUGUAAGUAAAAAGGAGUAAGAAUGGAGUGUGGAGGGACAAGGAACCCAGAGGACAGACCUUCGGGGGUCAGGGCGUGCUGUCACUCGGGGUGAACAGGACAUGACCCCUCUGGCUUGGUGCUCCCCACUCCCAUCCCGUGUUUUACUAGGUAAGUGAAAAGUCGCUCAGUCGUGUCCGACUCUUUUCGACCCCAUGAACUGGAAUUCUCCAGCCCAGAAUACUGGAGUGGGCAGCCGUUCCCUUCUCCAGAGGAUCUUUCUAACCCAGGGAUCGAACCCAGGUCUCCCACACUGCAGGCAGAGUGUUUUACUAGGUGGUCAGUGUUUAAAAUCUUUUUUUUCUAAACAUGAAUUCUUUCUCACCCUGGGCAUGCAGAUUUUAAUUUUCCAUAGUUCCUACCCUGCCUGGUAUUAACCAGGCCACUUUAUAUUACCUGCCUGGCCCUGAUCUGAUCUCAUAGCUUCUGGUCUACACUUCCGGUUUUGCAAACCCUGGGUGCAGAGCUUAGAAGGGCAGAGAGCUACCUUGGGUGGGGGCUAGCUGAGGGGGUGGAUGGACACACGGACAGAUUGAUGGGAUGGGUGGGGGCGGGAGGGAAGGAGGAAGUCA
Molecule: long non-coding RNA, 1468 nt
Filed under: Bos indicus x Bos taurus (hybrid cattle)
Lineage: Eukaryota; Metazoa; Chordata; Mammalia; Artiodactyla; Bovidae
Description: lncRNA (ENSBIXG00000009104.1)
Source: RNAcentral